Molecule: long non-coding RNA, 246 nt
Filed under: Mytilus galloprovincialis (Mediterranean mussel)
Lineage: Eukaryota; Metazoa; Mollusca; Bivalvia; Mytilida; Mytilidae
Source: RNAcentral
CCCUGUUUCAAUUCUCAACGGAGUUACUCCGCAUCUAAAUUUAGCAAAAGCACUUCUAUAUUUAUACGAUAAAUUUUUAGAUAAAUAUGAUUCACUUCCAUAACUGUCUUUAAACAAUUUAUAAGUCCGUAUUUUUUUACCAACAUCUUGUGUCAAUAUUCUAUUUUGCCAGUUUUCUAUAUGCUUAUCAAAUAAAACUUCUUCCAGCUGCGUAGUAUUUUAUUUAUACAAUGCAUUAUUUACAUC